Long non-coding RNA from Leucoraja erinaceus (little skate), 2511 nucleotides. RefSeq lists it as uncharacterized. The record is from RefSeq and is a predicted model, not a curated record. The transcript has 3 exons. NCBI's taxonomy places the organism in Eukaryota, Metazoa, Chordata, Chondrichthyes, Rajiformes, Rajidae.
GAAAUGCACAGGGAUUUUGUUAUUAAUCAUUUUACGAUACAUAUUUGUACGUAAGCAAUGGCGGAGGACCAGAGCAGCUAUCAUCAAUAAUUAACAACAAUUUGUGUUCAAUGUAGUAAAUCAUCACAAAGCUCUUUCGCCAGCUACUGUUUCCAUUGUCAAAGCCCCACUUCGACAGGGAGAAAUGGAAGAAAAAAAAAGAAAUUAUAAAAUAAACUUUAUCAAAUGUAUAAGAUGUCAUUAAAAACCUGUAUCCACAAUGAAAUGAUCUUGCAAAGUAUCCCCCCAAAUAUUAGUUAUCUAGCAAGUUAAUAAUUUAAAACUCAUCAGAACAGACCAGUUAUGAUUAACGGUUGAUGACAAAUGCAAAAAAAAGUUGGGAGAUUUAAACAGGAGACACUUUGCAGCAGUGGCUGCUUAAUCACAAUUUCAUUUCUCUGGAAAACCAAUAAAUUGUUUAGCAUUAACUUAACACAAGAGUACCAACUGUGUGGAUUUUUUUACUAUUGUUUUAUUGAGUAUUUGUAUGCCAAGGAGUAUGCUGAUUCUAAUCUUGAUCAACAAUGAGAAUAUUCAGUCUAUUCGCUGAAGAGCAUGAUCACUACCACUCGUCAAUCUUCCCCAGCAGUUAAAGGCUUGCAUUUCUGCCGCCUCCUGGAAUGAACUUUAUUCUUUCAGAGGAGUUGGCCAUGAAGAUGGUCGAGAUUAGGAGGAGGAGGGAGGGUGAUAGAGAAGGUGAUAAAGGGAAAGAGGAAGGAGAAAGGAUGAGGGAGGGAAUGGUAAUGUUGAUGGAGGAGAUGGGUAGAGGGGAGAGCAUAUGAAGGAGAGGAGAUGAAGGGAGGGAGAUGGUAAAGGGAGGGGGGAGGGUGAAAGGGAGGAUCAGAUAAAGGAAAGGAUGGAGUGGAAAAGGAUAGGAAGGAGGCAAGAGGAAGAGGAAGGAAGAAUGGACGAAGGAAAAAUAAGUAGGAGAGGAUGGGAAAAGGGGAAAGUAGUGAAAACAGGUUUAGGGAGGAAGGAGUAAUGGAAAGGAGCAGAGGGGUAGAAAAGAUGGGAGAGACUGGGAGGUGACAGGGGGGAGAACAUGGGAACGGCAAGGGCUAGGGUGGAACAGGAGGCUGAAGGAGUGGGGAGAAAGGAUGGAAGGGAGAGGAGGAACAAGAAGGGAGGGAUCGGGAUUGGAGAAAGGCGGGAGAACAUAGAGGGGAGGAGGGAGGGAAGAAGUGAAAAAGAGAAAACGUGCAUAUAGACAGGAAAGGGGAUAUGGGGAGAAGUGGUGAGGGAGGAUGUGAAGGGGAAAUGUGGAGUUAGGAGAGUGGGUGGGAUUGUGUGAGAGCCAGAGUGAAGGAUAAGGAUGUAUAAUAAGAAAGGAAGUUCGCUGAGAAUAUCAGGAGAAGAUAUGUGUGGAGCAAUAUGUGUGUAACCUGAUAUGUGUGUAACCUGUGUGGAGCAAUAUGUUCGAUUUAGAUGCAAGCAAAACUGAGGAAUUCGACCGGUGCUGGGUCUCUAAGCACCACGGAUAGCUCCAGGUUGUUUAUAUGUGAAUUUGGCUGCUAUGUUUCCUCAGCUUACAACAGUAAUCACAGUUCAAGACGUACUCACGGAUCGAGAGGCUCUCGGGGACAAACUAUAGAUGCAACCUUUCCGCACUGUAUCUCCUGCACUGCGGCCUUAACAUCGUGGAGCUGGCAGUCCCUUUGUUAGGGAUCGACUUUGGGAGCUCCAACGGCAGGGGCUUCGAGCGCCCUGAUUGCGGAUGUUUCAAUUGCCCCGACUGCGGGAGAUGAGGAAAGAUGGUUUACGUCAUUUGCCUUCCAUCAUGGUGGGGAAUGUGAGGUCGCUGAAAAACAUGAUGGACCUGCUGCCUGCGUUGGUGGGGACUCAGAGGGAUUGCCGUGAGUGCAGUGAUCUUGGUGGGUGCAGGGACAUCACUCCAUGAGAACUUCCUGGCAUCUGCUGCGAGUGCGGAGGACUUUCUGACUGUUCGGGCGGACAGGGACUGCAGAGGAGUGACAGCGAUCGGUACAACUCUAAUCACAUCAUGAAGAGCGUGUGUGUGUGUGUGUGUGUGUGUGUGGCCCGGCCAUUGAGCUGAUGGCUGUGGGUCUCUACUAAUGCAGUGAGCCAUGGGGGUUCUCACAUGCUGCUGUGGUGGCUGUUUAAGUGUAUGUUUAAUCUUUAUGUAGUAAUGUGUCUUGUUGUUUUUUUCUUUGUACGACGAUAGUAAAUCAAAUUUCACUGCACCUCAGUACACAUGACAAUAAAGGACCAUUGAACCAACUCAAUAUGUGUACGAAGGAACUGCAGAUGCUGGUUUACACUGAAGAUAGACACAAAAUGCUGUAAUAACUCAGUGGGUCAAACAGCAUCUCUGGAGAAAAGGAAUAGGGAAGGAGCAAACUAUACUCUAUACUCCAUACUCCGACUGAUGAAGGCCAAUGUGCCAAAAGUUUUCUUGACCGCCUCUCCACCUACAACACUGCUUUCAAUGAACUAUUCAUCUGCACCUCUAGA